Molecule: ribosomal RNA, 378 nt
Filed under: uncultured bacterium
Lineage: Bacteria
Description: bacterial SSU rRNA
Rfam family: Bacterial small subunit ribosomal RNA
Source: RNAcentral
GACGAACGCUGGCGGCGUGCUUAACACAUGCAAGUCGAGCGGUAAGGCCCUUUCGGGGGUACACGAGCGGCGAACGGGUGAGUAACACGUGGGUGACCUGCCCUUAGCUCUGGGAUAAGCCUGGGAAACUGGGUCUAAUACCGGAUAUGACUCCAUGACGCAUGUUGUGGGGUGGAAAGCCUUGUGCGGCUAGGGAUGGGCCCGCGGCCUAUCAGCUUGUUGGUGGGGUGAUGGCCACCAAGGCGACGACGGGUAGCCGGCCUGAGAGGGCGACCGGCCACACUGGGACUGAGACACGGCCCAGACUCCUACGGGAGGCAGCAGUGGGGAAUCUUGCGCAAUGGGCGAAAGCCUGACGCAGCGACGCCGCGUGGGGGA